Molecule: long non-coding RNA, 2311 nt
Organism: Scatophagus argus
Lineage: Eukaryota; Metazoa; Chordata; Actinopteri; Scatophagidae
Exons: 4
Source: RefSeq, a predicted model, not a curated record
GUCGGUGGGUCUGCUACUUUGUGAGAGAACAUUCAUUCUUCUUUUGUAAAGUUGCCAUCUUUGAAGGAAUGAAGUCACAGGAAGAAAUUGGAUACCAUCGUCUGCACUGGACUGGAUAUUUAUGGUUCUGGCAGGAGAGAGGAAUCUUUGAAGAUGCUGGAAACGUCUUCAGAAGAGCGGAGUGCCAAGCUGCUGCUCCCAGGGCUACCGUGGGACCAGGAGUGUCCAGGGAUAAAGCCUGAUUGUUGGGAAGAUAAAGACCGCUAAGAGAGUGGACGGAGAGGGGAGGGACCAUAGGACCGUGCCACCAAAGGCUGCCACACACCAACGAAAAGCACAAAGACGUGUACGGCUGUCCAGCUCUGCGGCCCACACGGUGCUUUGGACCACAAUGCUUGCCGCGUUCCACUCAAACGUCUUAUCAGCACUUCAGAGAAGAUGCAGUGUAUCAAAAUUUAAGUGAAGACAUAUGGUAUACAUGGGAAUUAUCUCAGCCGAAUGACUGUAGCGUAUACAGCAAGAGCAUCUGUAUCUUAAUAGUCUAUGAGCAGUGGUGAAGGGAGAAUGUGAAAGCUCUGAGGGAUUUGGGAGAAAGGAUAUGAUUGCAUUUAUGUCCCAUCAAGCAGCUUGCUGGAUGCAGGGGAAUGCCUAAUAUAUAUCUGUAUUUGGUCGCCAGCUUACAUCUGUCUGCUUAUGGAUUUAUGACUUCAAAACUAUUUGGAAAAAAAAAAAAAAGGCGCCUCUCGACAGAGCCAGUGACUAAUAACUAAAGCUGACAGGGAUGGCAGGCAAACACACACACACGCAUACACACACACGGAUAGACGUAACGACAAGACUCGGCGACAAGGAACAAAGGAGUCGAAAUCUGACACAUUCUCUCUGACAGUAGGAUAAAACUCACUCACCCCUCGAGCCAUGCUAACACACACCACACACACACACACACACACACGCACGCACACAGUUUACUUCUUCGUCUGUCACGCGGAGUUUUUCUCACAAACACGCACAUCAUGUUUUCACACAUAAAAACAGUCGUGUCUGCAUACUAAACCUUUCAAAUCUUCGCAUAAAGUGUGUUCAUUCUCAUUUUAUUUAAUCUUUCAUGUGCGAGGAGGCUCGGAUACACGGUUAAAAGCUGAAAACAUUUAUGUAAAUGGCUGCUGGAUCCAGAGACUGUGAGGGGUUUUUGAGAGCAAAGUCUGCUCUGAUUCACACUGUCCAUAAAAAAGUAACUGUUGUUAUAAUCUGCGACACAGUGUCAUACCUGCAGUUGGAUUCUUACAGCUGUUUCCAAGCUGGAUGACAUGCGUCUUUAUUGCACUACAGUUUUCAAUUAUCCUAACUUAUCUCGUUUUUCCUUGUUCCUACAGUUGAAUGCUUUACAUCAAGUCUGAAAAAAUUAAUUGUUUUCACUGUACUCACUGAAAAUCUGAUUAUAAGAGGUGGACCCUAUGAGGGUGGUUAUUGACCCGACAGUCAGCAUACCCAAGCGUGAUGUGGAAACUUGAAGUCUCCAGUGCACAAUAACUGAGAAUGGACUUGAGUAAAGUAGGAGACACCUUGUGUCCAGCUGUUAAACAUAAAGUCUGGAAUUUUUAAUAAGGGAGAAAGAAUAGGUGCCAUUUUAAAGAUUUUAAUGUUGGAAAUUAUACAUUUUCUUUCUACUUAAACGAUAUCAGACACACAUUGAAGGAGCAGAUUUGAUGCUGUAUUCAGAUUUGAUAAAAUGCUAAUGAACUCUCAACCCAUUCAUACAAAAGGACAUGGAGUACUCUGGACAGUAAAGAUUGUCCAAGGCGAGACUGAAGCAUAAAGGGCAGUCCUGCCACAUGGCAAGUUGGCAAGCAGCAUCAAUUAAAAUUUUGCCACUUGGGGGCAACGAAACAAGCUGUUAACACAACACUGACAUAUUACCACCAUAUUAAUUCAACAUCUAGCAGACAGGGAGAAAUGUAAGCAUUCAUUUGGAUUCUGAGCUGUGAGUCCAAUACUCACCCUCAUUUUAGCUCCGUUUUGCUCUCCACCAACUCACAAGGGACUUAUCUAGUUCUUAAGCUAUGAAAUGCCUCAAUCGCUUCUCGCUAACUCUAUCUGUCUGCGAUUUGAUGAGGGGCAGGUGCUGUACAGCAGGUUCUUCAGAGUUUUCUUCUUGAAAGGAGCUGCGUACAUGUGUUCGGAAACAGGGCUGAUGAAAACGUUAAGAACCAGAACAGUAAAACUGCAGAUCACAUAACCAAAACAGAGCUGAAAGAGGCUUAAAAAGGCUAUUUAAAAAGGCUCACAUGGUAAUUCCCCGUACAUUAAA